AUACGUAGGGGGCGAGCGUUAUCCGGAUUCAUUGGGCGUAAAGCGCUCGUAGGCGGUCCGUCUGGUCGGGUGUCAAAUCCGGGGGCUCAACCCCCGUUCGCAUCCGAUACCGGCGGACUUGAGUUUGGUAGGGGAAGGCGGAAUUCCAAGUGUAGCGGUGGAAUGCGCAGAUAUUUGGAAGAACACCGGUGGCGAAGGCGGCCUUCUGGGCCACAACUGACGCUGAGGAGCGAAAGCUAGGGGAGCGAACAGGAUUAGAUACCCUGGUAGUCCUAGCCGUAAACGAUGGACACUAGGUGUGGGGGGAUCUGCCCUCCGUGCCGCAGCUAACGCAUUAAGUGUCCCGCCUGGGGAGUACGGCCGCAAGGCUAAA
This 373-nucleotide ribosomal RNA is filed under the name uncultured bacterium. RNAcentral's name for it is "bacterial SSU rRNA". It matches the Rfam family "Bacterial small subunit ribosomal RNA", at positions 523 to 898 of the family's 1533-position model. The record is from RNAcentral.